This is a long non-coding RNA of Austrofundulus limnaeus, 292 nucleotides long. RefSeq lists it as uncharacterized. The record is from RefSeq and is a predicted model, not a curated record. The transcript is spliced from 3 exons. Lineage: Eukaryota; Metazoa; Chordata; Actinopteri; Cyprinodontiformes; Rivulidae.
CAAUGAGCGCAUGAGAGGAAGAUGAGGCGGAACCACGGAGAAUGUUGUUUUGCACACAAGUCGGCUGAGGAAGCUCCGUGUUAAUCGAGUAGGAGCGCGUCCAGCUCCACAGUCAUGAUGUCCACCUUAUACAGUCAUCCAGCGAGCUCUCCCCAUGCAGUACUCCCAUCGGCAUUAAUUCCGUUCCUGCGAUAAGUGGAGUGAUUGCCAGAGACAAGGGCACAAAGCAUGGCUGCUCCAUCUUCUGAAGGAGCUGCUGCUUCCGCACGUCUCCACAAAGCUCCGUCUCCGC